GCUAACGCACUAAGUAGACCGCCUGGGGAGUACGGCCGCAAGGUUAAAACUCAAAUGAAUUGACGGGGGCCCGCACAAGCGGUGGAGCAUGUGGUUUAAUUCGACGCAACGCGAAGAACCUUACCUGGCCUUGACAUGCAGAGAACUUUCCAGAGAUGGAUUGGUGCCUUCGGGAACUCUGACACAGGUGCUGCAUGGCCGUCGUCAGCUCGUGUCGUGAGAUGUUGGGUUAAGUCCCGUAACGAGCGCAACCCCUAUCCCUAGUUGCUAGCAGUUCGGCUGAGAACUCUAGGGAGACUGCCGGUGACAAACCGGAGGAAGGUGGGGAUGACGUCAGGUCAUCAUGGCCCUUACGGCCAGGGCUACACACGUGCUACAAUGGUGCGCACAGAGGGCUGCAAACCCGCGAGGGGGAGCCAAUCUCACAAAACGCAUCGUAGUCCGGAUCGCAGUCUGCAACUCGACUGCGUGAAGUCGGAAUCGCUAGUAAUCGUGAAUCAGAAUGUCACGGUGAAUACGUUCCCGGGCCUUGUACACACCGCCCGUCACACCAUGGGAGUGGAUUGCACCAGAAGUGGUUAGUCUAACCUUCAGGAGGA
Molecule: ribosomal RNA, 599 nt
Filed under: uncultured bacterium
Lineage: Bacteria
Description: bacterial SSU rRNA
Rfam family: Bacterial small subunit ribosomal RNA
Source: RNAcentral